RNAcentral lists this ribosomal RNA (253 nucleotides) under uncultured bacterium. RNAcentral describes it as "partial 16S ribosomal RNA". It matches the Rfam family "Bacterial small subunit ribosomal RNA", at positions 524 to 776 of the family's 1533-position model. The record is from RNAcentral.
GACGAAGGAUGCAAGCGUUAUCCGGAUUCAUUGGGUUUAAAGGGUGCGUAGGCGGCCUUAUAAGUCAGUGGUGAAAUCUUUGGGCUUAACCCAAAAAUUGCCAUUGAUACUGUAGGGCUUGAGUACAGUUGCUGUGGGCGGAAUAUGACAUGUAGUGGUGAAAUACAUAGAGAUGUCAUAGAACACCGAUUGCGAAGGCAGCUCACAAAACUGUAACUGACGCUGAGGCUCGAAAGUGCGGGGAGCAAACAGG